RNAcentral lists this long non-coding RNA (9940 nucleotides) under Eutrema salsugineum. RNAcentral's name for it is "long non-coding RNA (ESAL_LNC001670)". Lineage: Eukaryota; Viridiplantae; Streptophyta; Magnoliopsida; Brassicales; Brassicaceae. The record is from RNAcentral.
AUAUAUAUUAAACAAAUGUAAAUCAGAGGUCAGUUAGCAAAUCAAAAUCUCUAUAUAAGAGCUCAACUUAGAUGUAUAGAUUAAGACCAUCCAACGCUUUCUUCUCUUGAAGAAAACAUAGAAAGUUUUAUCCAAACCAAAAAUGGCUUUGCAAAAGUUUCCUCUCAUGGGGCUGCUUAUGCUCCUAACCAUCAUUGUUUCUCCGGCAACAGCCGAUGGACCUGUUUGCCCACCGACGACUAAACUAAGCCGGGCAAGUUUUCCUGAAGGGUUUCUAUUUGGCACGGCUACUGCAGCAUAUCAGGUAUAAUAUAAGUUACUAUAAACUCUUCUGGAUGGUUACGCAAAGGGAAAAAAAAAAACACUUUCUUACAUAUAUAAAAAUAAAUGUCCAUAAAUAAUCUGUUAACAUUUAGAUAGUAGAAUUCAUAUAGAUGAAAUAGUUAAAUCUUUGCUAGUCAACUAGUAAAAGUUUUAUCAUGAUAUUGACUAAAUAUCUUUUUUUCUUAAAUGAUGUAUAUAACGAGUUCACCUAUAUAUAUAUCAUAUCAUUUUCUAAAUCCGUCAACUAUGUUUGUUAUAUAGGUUGAAGGUGCAGUGAAUGAAACUUGUCGUGGACCGGCCUUAUGGGAUAUCUACUGUAAGAGAUAUCCAUGUGAGUGUCUCUAAAUUUCUCUUUUGACCUCUUAAAUGUACUUGUGAUUAUUCUUUUCUCUAAUUAAUAUCGAAAAUCAUUUAUUUUCUCUAUAGCGAGGUGCAAUAACGAUAACGGUGAUGUGGCCGUUGAUUUCUUCCAUCGUUAUAAGGUAUAUAAAUUAGUAUUGCUAGAUUGAUAAAUUAUCACAUACAUCUAUAAAUAUUUCUCAUUGUUCUAUUGAAUAGUUCAUUGAUACUAACUAGUGUUGAUAAUUUUUUUUUGCCUGAAAAAAUAAUAUUUGUAGGAAGAUAUACAACUAAUGAAGAAUCUAAACACAGACGCCUUCAGAAUGUCUAUCGCGUGGCCAAGAAUAUUUCCUCGUGAGUAUAUGUACUAAGGAUGGACAUACACACAUAUCUCUGAUUUAUCUAUCCAAUCACUAACUUGAUCAUUUACUUUUCAUCGAGAUCGGUGUUUUUAAAUGUAUAUGAUUGGUAAAUGUUUUAUUAUAGAUGGGAGGAUGGAGAAAGGAGUGAGUCAAGCUGGUGUGCAAUUUUACCACGAUGUCAUCGAUGAGCUCCUUAAAAAUGGUUAUUUAUUAUAAAUAAACAUAUUAAUUAAUUAACAACUAUAUAUAUACGUAUAGUUGUUACAAUUAAUUAUCUAAAAAAUUCAACUUAAUAUUGUGAUAAGGUAUAACUCCGUUCGUGACUGUUUACCAUUGGGACACUCCACAAGAUUUAGAAGAUGAAUAUGGCGGUUUUUUAAGUGAAAGAAUUGUGUAAGUUUCUCUUGGUUAUAAUUUUUUUUUUAAAAAUGAAUCCCAUUUUAUAUGUAUAUAAAACCAAUAUACAACGUGAUAAUUUUUUGAAUAUCGUUUUGCAAAUAUGCAGGAAAGAUUUCCGAGAAUAUGCAAAUUUUGUUUUCCAAGAAUAUGGUGGAAAAGUGAAACAUUGGAUUACUUUUAAUGAGCCAUGGGUUUUCUCGCACGCUGGUUAUGACGUAGGCAAAAAAGCACCAGGACGUUGCUCUAAAUAUGUCAAAGAAGAAUGCCAAGAGGGACGAUCAGGAUACGAGGCUUACCUCGUCACUCACAAUCUUCUUAACUCUCACGCAGAAGCCGUUGAAGCUUUCCGACAAUGUGAAAAGGUAUAUCAUAUAUUAUAUAAUAAUAAUUUAUCGUCUUUCGGAACUAAACAUUUGUUCGUUUUGUGUUAUGUUAAUGGCCAGUGUAAAGGUGGGAAAAUCGGAAUCGCACAUAGUCCGGCUUGGUUCGAACCACACGACCUUGCUGAUUCACAAGAUGGUGCAUCCAUUAACCGUGCACUUGACUUUAUUUUGGGAUGGUGAGUAGCUAAUAUCCUAAUAUCAAGUAUUAAUUUUCUUGUAAUUUAAUACAAUAUGUAAUAUAUGAUUAUUAUUAUUAUUAUCUUUUGUAGGCAUCUAGACACAACAACGUAUGGAGAUUACCCACAGAUCAUGAAAGACAUUGUUGGACACAGAUUGCCUAAAUUUACUGAUCAGCAGAAGGCAAAAUUGAAAAACUCAGCCGAUUUCGUUGGGCUCAACUAUUAUACUUCAGUAUUUUCAAACCAUUUGGAGAAGCCAGAUUAUUCUAAACCAAGAUGGAUGCAAGAUUCUCUUAUUAACUGGGAAUGUAAGUUUUUUUUGGUUUUUGUUUUUGUUUUUCUGCUUUUUUGCCCUUACUUGAGACAGAACCAAGAAAACAGAUGCCAACAAAUAGAAGGAAAAAGUUUGUCUUUGGUACUAAUCAAAAUCUAUCUUCUUUUCAGCUAAGAAUGCGCACAAUUACUCCAUUGGUAGCAAGGUAUGUAUUUGAUAGUCUAAUACUGAAUUAUAUUAUUUCAGAUAAAUAUUAUAAUCUUGUCUAUAACGUAACAUUUUUCACCUUUGUCGUAUUUCAGCCUUUCACGGCUGCACUGCCCGUUUACGCGAGAGGCUUCAGAAGUCUUUUGAAGUACAUCAAAGAUAAAUAUGCCAACCCGGAAAUUAUGAUCAUGGAAAAUGGUAAUUAGAGAGAUUUCUUAUUUUCGUUCAUUUUGUUUGAAAAACAUAUAUAAAAAAAAAAUAUUGAUCUUGAUGUUGUUUUCUAGGAUAUGGAGAAGAACUUGGGGCAUCAGAUUCGAUUGCAGUUGGUACUGCUGAUCAUAACAGGAAGUAUUACCUCCAGAGGCAUCUUUUAAGUAUGCAAGAAGCUAUCUGGUAAGUCUUAUAUAUUUCUGUUUUAUAUGGUAGACUAGCAAUUGUAUUGGAGAGUUAAUAAUAACAUUUGUGUACUAUAUGCAGCAUCGACAAGGUGAAUGUUACAGGAUACUUUGUAUGGUCAUUGUUGGAUAACUUCGAGUGGCAAGACGGUUAUAAGAACAGAUUUGGAUUAUAUUACAUUGAUUUCAAAAAUAACCUCACACGUUAUGAGAAAGAAUCGGGCAAAUUCUACAAAGAUUUCCUCAGUGUAGGGACUCGUCCAUCCAUGAUCAAGAGGGACGAGCUUUAAGCUAUUUUUUGAGAAUUUGGUCGUGUCGAUGUGUCUUUCCUAUGUUUGUAUUUUAUAAUUUACCAAGAUUCUAGAGGUCUUGGGUUGAAUAAAAGAGUGUCUUCUUCAUUUAUGUCUAUAUGAUUUGCAAGAUAUACUAGAAAACUCUGGUUGUGAAAAACCGGAUUUACCUCUAAACAUAGAAAUGGAUUAGGAAAUAUGAUAUAUUUAAAACAAUAUCUAAAUAUCUAGACGUAAACGAUAAGGCUGAUGCAUGAGAAACCAAAAUAAUAUAUUCUCCGAAAAAACCCAAAGUCGGGUAAGAUCAAUUAUAUUUACAGUAAAACCUUUAUAAUAAUUAAUCUCGGAAUUUUGGAAAUAUUUUAAUCUAUAGAAAAUAUUAUUAAUAUUGCAAUAUAUGAAGCUUUUGACACAGCGACUUAUUAAGUCACAUUUUAAUAUAAGCUCGUGGCACACGCGGAAUAUUAUAUGUUUCGAAUUUCGAGUAAAAAUGAUAACAACGCAUUGAUAAUUAGACCAUGCAAUUAAUCCUAUAUCCAAUUUUUUUUUUCUUUCCGACAAACACAUAUUAUAUCCAACUAUGGACUAAUAUUUUUAGUGGAAAAAGAAGAAGAAGAUAGCAACAGGAUACCGUAAAUAUCCAAAUAUAUAUUAAGAUGUGGUCGAAAACACGAUAUAAUUAAGUCUAUAAAGUGGGUCGAUUAAAAAAACACGAUAUGGGUCUUUAAAGUGGAAAUUAAAAAUAUGAUCCACGAGGCCUGGUGGUGGUUGGCAUAGUAAAACAAAAUAAAAAAAUAAUUAAAAUCUAAAGUUCAAUCAGUGAAUCAAAAUCGCUAUAUAAAGAACUCCACUUGAAUGUAUAAAAUACCAAACACACUCUUGAAGAAAACAAAAAACAACUCAAACCAAAAUGGCUUUGCAUAAGUUUCCUCUCAUGGGGCUGCUUUUGCUCCUAACCAUCUCCGUCUCUCCGGCAAUAGCUGAUGGACCUGUUUGCCCGCCGUCUACGAAACUAAGCCGGGCAAGUUACCCUGAAGGUUUUUUGUUUGGCACGGCUACGGCAGCGUAUCAGGUAUAAACAUUUCUUGACAUUUAUUUUUAGAUUUUUAUAUAUGUUCAUAAGUUAUUUCAGAUAGUAAGGUUCAUAUAGACGGCAUAGUAAAAUCCAUAUUCAUCAUUAUCAAUAUCACGUUUCACAGUAUAUAAAAUAGUAAAAACUAUAGAAUAAAGUCAUAAAGAUGACAUUCUAAACGGAAUAAGAGUGUUUUGGUCUUUUGCUAGUUAUCUAGUAAUUUUGUUUUUGUUUUUUUUUUUUUUUUAUCAUGGUGCUUACUUAAUAUCCCUUUAAAAAUAAUUUAAAUGGCGAAUUUACCUAUAGAUUUUUUUGAACAAUUAAUUUAGCUACAUUUUAUAUAUAUCAUAAGGUUGAAGGUGCAGUGAAUGAAACUUGCCGUGGACCAGCCUUAUGGGAUAUCUACUGUAAGAGAUUUCCAGGUGAGUGUCUCUACGUUUCUUAUCUCGUAAUUGUGUUUAGGAUUAUUCAUUCUUCCACUAAUAAUAUCGAAACUCAACUGAUUAUUUUCAUUAAAUUUGAAUUACAGCAAGAUGCAACAACGAUAACGGCGAUGUAGCUGUUGAUUUCUUCCAUCGUUAUAAGGUAUACAAUUUAGUUCAGGUUAAAGAAAUCAAUUAUGGCAACGUAUAUCAAGUAAUUAAUUAAUUAAUUAAUUAAUUAAUAUUUCCUGUUAUUCUAUUUUAUAGUCCAUUGAUUCAUAUUAGAUGCUAAUAAUUUGUGUCGUCGUAAAAAAUGUUUAUAGGAAGAUAUCCAACUAAUGAAGAAUCUAAACACAGACGCCUUCAGAAUGUCUAUCGCAUGGCCAAGAAUAUUUCCUCGUGAGUAUAUGUGCUAAGAAUCUAUACACAUUUAUCUGUCUACUCAAUCAGUAACUUGAUUUAAUUUUACUCGAGAUUGGUAUUUUCAAAAUGUAUAUCAUUGUUGAGAUAUUAAUGAAGCAAAACAAUAUUAUAUCAGAUGGGAGAAUGGAGAAAGGAAUCAGUUGGGCUGGUGUGCAAUUUUACCACGACCUCAUUGACGAACUCCUUAAAAAUGGUUAUAUAUUUUAAUGUGUAUAUAUAUAUAUAGUGACAAUUGCUGAUUAUAGACGUUAAUAAAAUUUUCUAAAACUUUUUAUUACUGUUUUUAAAAGGUAUAAUUCCGUUCGUGACUGUUUAUCACUGGGAUACUCCACAAGAUUUAGAAGAUGAAUAUGGUGGCUUUUUAAGCGAAAGGAUUGUGUAAGUUUUUUUUGAUAAAACAACUCAUAUUUUAAUGUAUAUAAAACCACUAUAAAACAGGAAAAAUUAAUUGAAUAACUUUUUGGAAAAAUGCAGGAAAGAUUUCCGAGAAUAUGCAAAUUUUGUUUUUCAAGAAUAUGGUGGAAAAGUAAAACAUUGGAUCACUUUUAACGAGCCAUGGGUUUUCUCGCACGCUGGUUAUGACGUAGGCAAGAAAGCACCAGGACGUUGCUCUAAGUACGUCAAAGAUGAAUGUCAUGAGGGACGAUCAGGAUUCGAGGCUUACCUCGUCACUCACAAUCUCCUUAACUCUCACGCAGAAGCCGUUGAAGCUUUCCGACAAUGUGAAAAGGUAUAUCAUAUUCAUAGUUUCAUACAUAAUAAUAAUUUAUCGGCUUUCGGAUCUGAAACACUCUUUGCUUUGUGUUAUGUUUAUGGCCGCAGUGUAAAGGUGGGAAAAUCGGAAUUGCACAUAGUCCGGCUUGGUUCGAACCACAUGACCUUGCUGAUUCACAAGACGGUGCGUCCAUUAACCGUGCACUUGACUUUAUUUUGGGAUGGUAAGUAGUUAAUAUCCUAAUAUCAUCAAAUUAAUUCUAAAUAUCUUUUAACAUAAUAUAUAAUAAUUGCUUUUUUCUUUUCUUUUGUAGGCAUCUAGACACAACUACGUAUGGAGAUUAUCCACAGAUCAUGAAAGACAUUGUUGGACACAGAUUGCCUAAAUUUACUACUCAGCAGAAGGAAAAAUUGAAAAACUCUGCCGAUUUCGUUGGGCUCAACUAUUAUACUUCAAUGUUUUCAAACCAUUUGGAGAAGCCAGAUCAUUCUAAACCAAGAUGGAUGCAAGAUUCUCUUAUUAACUGGGAAAGUAAGUUUUUUUGGUAGCCCCUUACUUGAAAACAAACCAAGAAAUCGAUGCCAACAAUUAAUAUAAAAGGGAAACUGUUUAUUUGUAUUCGGUACUAAUAUAUCAAAAUCUAUCUUCUUUUCAGCUAAGAGUGCGCUAAAUUUCUCAAUUGGUAGCAAGGUACGCUUUUAAUUAAACUUAUAGCAAUCUGAUAUUAUACUUCUUUUUAGAUAAAUUACACUUUUGUCUAUGACGUAACAUUUUCACGUCUGUCGUAUUUCAGCCUUUGACCGCUGCAUUGAACGUUUACUCCAGAGGCUUUAGAAGUCUUCUGAAAUACAUCAAAGACAAGUACGGAAACCCGGAAAUUAUGAUCAUGGAGAACGGUAACUAGAAAUUUUCUAAUGUUUGCUAGCUACUUUAUCCUUUUUUGACUUUAUUCUAUAAUAAAUAUUUAUUGUAUUGAUCUUAAUGUUGUUUUUUAGGAUACGGAGAAGAACUUGGGGCAUCAGAUUCAAUUGCAGUUGGUACAGCUGAUCAUAACAGGAAAUAUUAUCUUCAGAGACAUCUUUUGAGUAUGCAUGAGGCUAUUUGGUAAGUCAUCUUUUUUAUAUGAUAGACUAAUUAACAACUGUUUGACCCAAAAAAAAAAAAAAAAAAAAGACUAAUUAACAACUGUAUUGGAGAAUUUAAAAAAAAAACUGUGUACAUGCAGCAUCGACAAGGUGAAUGUUACAGGAUACUUCGUAUGGUCAUUGUUGGAUAACUUCGAGUGGCAAGAUGGUUAUAAGAACAGAUUUGGACUAUACUACAUUGAUUUCAAAAAUAACCUCACACGUCAUGAGAAAGAAUCGGGCAAGUAUUACAAACAAUUCCUAAGUGAAGGUGUUCGUCCAUCUGCGAUCAAGAGGGAUGAGCUUUAAGCUAUAUCUUGAGGAUUUGGUUUUCUGUUUGAGUGUUUCUUUCUUAUGUUUUCGUUUGUGAUUGACCAAGAUUGAUGAGGUCUUGGCUAGAAUAAAAAUGUAUUGUUUUAUCGUUUCUCAAUGUCCGCGUGAUUUGACGAGCUCACGAAGGCUUGAUUAUUUAAUAAGGAGUAUUUUUUCUUUAUAAUAAUUAAAACGCAAUGAUUAUGAAAAACUAGAAUAUGAACAUAUUGGACGCGAUUUAUGCUUUUCGUUUGGUUAUUAUGAGAAAGUGAUUUUUUCAAUUUCAUGUUAUCUUUUAAUGCAAACAUCUAGUUUAUCAAAUAGAGGUUAAUUACAACUUAAAAAGAACAUUUCAUCUAUUGUUGCAGCUGCUUUCUUGUUGAUAUGACGACAUUAUUUGUUUCCAAAAUUUGAAAGCGUAUAAUAUUUGUCCUAUAUACCGAACAACAACAUUAAUAAGGAUCAUUUAGUAAUAAUAAUCGUGUAACUCGUGUUAAAUUGGAUGGAAUCUUCAUUUACUAAACGAUUCAUUUCCAGAUUAUAUGCAUUAAUAAUGUUGCUUGUUAAAUAUGAGAAAUAUUGUAUGCUUUUAAAUUUGAAAACAAUCGAAGCCGUCGUCAAUUAUUGGAGUCUGAAAAAUUGGGCCAUAUUAAUUAGAAGCAGUUGAUAAAGUAACAUUUUAAUUAAUAUUAUAUAUUCCACGCGCAAUAUUAUAUGUUCCACGCGCAAUAUUAUAUGUUUUUAAUUUUGAGAUAUAAAUGAAAAGACUAAAGUAGAGAUCAUGUGCAAUGACAUCAUUUCCUAUUUAAAAACAAUUAAACGAAACAAUAACAGUUUAGUCAAUCAUCACUGAAAAAAAAAUGCAACAAUAGGUUGUGUGGCCGGUAGUUAAGACUUAGUGACUUACGAUCGAUAUGAACAUAUAAUCGAAACCACGAUCAUCAGGAUCUUUAAUCAGCGAGGCCCGAUAGUGAUUUUUUUAAAACCUUUGAACAUUCAAAUUUGAAAUGAUAUUCUUGUUUCAAUUAAAAAAAAACCUCUUAAGUAAAAUAAGUAUGCCGCAGGCUACAAUAAAUUCACAUUAAAGAUAUAUAAAUUUUGAAUGAUAAUACUCAAAAAGAAAGAGGAAAAAAAAUUGCAUAAAUUUUGUUCAAACUUAAAUUCAAUCAAUAUUUUUUUAAUUCAUAUAAAAAUGCCUAAUAUUCGGUAAAAAAAAAAUGCAAUGAUAUUGUUUAGCAUGGAGCAGUUGGUAAGAAUAAUAAUCAUAGAUAGUAUAUAUUACAUCAGAAUUUUCUAGCAAAUAAGGUAUUACAUUAGAUGGAAGCUUCAAUUUUUUGUUACUACGAUUGCUUUCCGUUUUUUUUAUUAAUUGGUUUCUACGAUAUCAUAAAGAAGACGAUGAUCGAAAAACUAAUCUAGUCGUUUCGCUGUAGAUAUUAACGAAGACUAUGACGAGUGACGACGGAAGACAAGAUUUUGGUUGUCUAACAAAUAAGCCCUAAUUUAAUUUUUAUUUUUAUAAGUAACAAAAUGACUUAUUUAAGACUACAUCUGAUAGUGUUAAUCGUUAAAGAUGAAAAAUGUUAUAUGCUUUCAAAUUUUGAACACAAAUAAGGUCGCCGCGUCUAUUAUUGGAGUAAACGAACACUCCGGCCUUAUUAGAAGCAGUUACAUACUACCACGUUAUAUGUGGUCUAUGUAUUAAAUGGUCUUUAAGGGCCACAUAUUACAAUACUACAUGAAAGCUAGCUAUUUGUUGUGGAGUGGAGUUACACAAUGAUUUUAUUCAAAGGCACAUGUUAAUAUAUAGAUGCUACACGUUAAACACGCAUGAUAUUAUAUAUAUGUUCCGAAUUCUGAAAAAGUAAAUCAAUAAUACAGCGAUAUUGAUCAUGCGUUAAAUCAUCCUAUAUAUAAAAUUAAUUAACCAAAUAAAUAAUAACACCGUGAGAUAGAUCGUGCAAUGAAUCAUCCUCUAUAUAGUUAAUUAUUUUUGGUUUUUGGGUCAAAUGACAAAAAAAAAAUUUGAGAAAUGAUGAUCAGGAGUAACUAAAUAGAGUAUCGAGAUACAAUCAUGAAUCCAAGAAUUGUGAUCAAUGGUGAGAAUAAUCGUGAGUAGACGGCCUAAGAGAAGCUGCAUAAUGUCUCGAUCGAAUGAUAUUGUGGCUGGUUUGGCUUCCGUUCGAUGCGGUGUUGUAUUUAUUUAUGUCCAAAUCGCAUACAAUGCUUGGAAUAUGAGUUUGAAGAUGCGUUAAGAAUUAUAGGUUGAUUUUGAUUAGACGGCCAUAUCUAAUUGUUUUUACUAAACAAUAGUAGUUGGGUCACUCGUUAGUCGUUACCAAAAUUAAAAUAAAAAAAAAACACACACGUUCGAGUCACGUCGAUAUAUAUCCACUUAUAUAUUGAUAUUUAAUCGAAAAUACGAUCUGGAUCUAUACAGUACAGCACCAAAAAUAAUUAACGAGGCCAGAUUGGCAACUGAGAGAUCAAAUCAGUGAAUGUUAAUCGCUAUAUAAAGAACCCCACUUAGAUGUAUAAGAACCAUCCUAUACACUUCUUCUCCUGAAGGAAACAAAAAACAACUAAAAUCAAAAUGGCUUUGCAAAAGUUUCCUUUCGUGGGGCUACUUCUACUCUUAACCAUCAUCGUCUCUCCGGCAACAGCUGAUGGACCUGUUUGUCCACCGACGACCAAACUAAGUCGGGCAAGUUUCCCUGAAG